Molecule: ribosomal RNA, 404 nt
Filed under: Actinomycetes bacterium
Lineage: Bacteria; Bacillati; Actinomycetota; Actinomycetes
Description: Actinobacteria bacterium partial 16S ribosomal RNA
Rfam family: Bacterial small subunit ribosomal RNA
Source: RNAcentral
UGGGGAAUAUUGGACAAUGGGCGCAAGCCUGAUCCAGCCAUGCCGCGUGAGUGAAGAAGGCCCUAGGGUUGUAAAGCUCUUUCACCGGUGAAGAUAAUGACGGUAACCGGAGAAGAAGCCCCGGCUAACUUCGUGCCAGCAGCCGCGGUAAUACGAAGGGGGCUAGCGUUGUUCGGAUUUACUGGGCGUAAAGCGCACGUAGGCGGACUAUUAAGUCAGGGGUGAAAUCCCGGGGCUCAACCCCGGAACUGCCUUUGAUACUGGUAGUCUUGAGUUCGAGAGAGGUGAGUGGAAUUCCGAGUGUAGAGGUGAAAUUCGUAGAUAUUCGGGGGAACACCAGUGGCGAAGGCGGCUCACUGGCUCGAUACUGACGCUGAGGUGCGAAAGCGUGGGGAGCAAACAGG